UACGUAGGGUGCAAGCGUUAAUCGGAAUCACUGGGCGUAAAGCGUGCGCAGGCGGCUUUGCAAGCCAGAUGUGAAACCCCCGGGCUUAACCUGGGAACUGCAUUUGUGACUGCAUGGCUGGAGUGCGGCAGAGGGGGAUGGAAUUCCGCGUGUAGCAGUGAAAUGCGUAGAUAUGCGGAGGAACACCGAUGGCGAAGGCAAUCCCCUGGGCCUGCACUGACGCUCAUGCACGAAAGCGUGGGGAGCAAACAGG
This 253-nucleotide ribosomal RNA is filed under the name uncultured bacterium. Its description in RNAcentral is "partial 16S ribosomal RNA". It matches the Rfam family "Bacterial small subunit ribosomal RNA", at positions 524 to 776 of the family's 1533-position model. The record is from RNAcentral.